GAUGAACGCUGGCGGCGUGCCUAAUACAUGCAAGUCGAGCGAACAGACGAGGAGCUUGCUCCUCUGACGUUAGCGGCGGACGGGUGAGUAACACGUGGAUAACCUACCUAUAAGACUGGGAUAACUUCGGGAAACCGGAGCUAAUACCGGAUAAUAUAUUGAACCGCAUGGUUCAAUAGUGAAAGACGGUUUUGCUGUCACUUAUAGAUGGAUCCGCGCCGCAUUAGCUAGUUGGUAAGGUAACGGCUUACCAAGGCAACGAUGCGUAGCCGACCUGAGAGGUGGGUCGGCCACCUUGAAAUUGGGACACGGCCCAGCCUCCGACGGGAGGCAGCAGGAGGGAAUCUUCCGCAAGGGGCGAAAGCCUGACGGACCACCGCAGCGGGAUGAAUGAAGUUUUUCGAAUCUAAAACCUCUUUUAUAAGGGAAGAAAAAUUUUGUAAUAAACUAUGCACUUCUGGAGGUUACCUAAUCAGAAGACCAGGCCAAACUCCGUG
Molecule: ribosomal RNA, 497 nt
Filed under: uncultured bacterium
Lineage: Bacteria
Description: partial 16S ribosomal RNA
Rfam family: Bacterial small subunit ribosomal RNA
Source: RNAcentral